GCCCUAGUAGCUUAGCCACUAAAGCG
This 26-nucleotide transfer RNA is filed under the name Clarias batrachus (walking catfish). RNAcentral's name for it is "partial tRNA-Thr". The record is from RNAcentral. Lineage: Eukaryota; Metazoa; Chordata; Actinopteri; Siluriformes; Clariidae.